RNAcentral lists this ribosomal RNA (64 nucleotides) under uncultured bacterium. RNAcentral's name for it is "partial 16S ribosomal RNA". The record is from RNAcentral.
UGGCCUUGACAUAGAAAGAAUGGAGCAGAGAGGUAAAAGUGUUCGUUUCGUAGAGCUUUCACAC